Molecule: ribosomal RNA, 264 nt
Filed under: uncultured bacterium
Lineage: Bacteria
Description: partial 16S ribosomal RNA
Rfam family: Bacterial small subunit ribosomal RNA
Source: RNAcentral
GAUCCUGGCUCAGGACGAACGCUGGCGGCGUGCCUAACACAUGCAAGUCGAACGGGACUUGCCCCUUCGGGGACAAGUUUAGUGGCGGACGGGUGAGUAACGCGUGAGCAACCUACCUUUCAGUGGGGGACAACAGUUGGAAACGACUGCUAAUACCGCAUAACACUUAUUUAGGGCAUCUUAAAUAAGUCAAAGAUUUAUUGCUGAAAGAUGGGCUCGCGUCUGAUUAGCUAGUUGGUGGGGUAACGGCCCACCAAGGCGACG